CCAUCAUUAAGUUGGGCACUCUAAGUUGACUGCCGGUGACAAACCGGAGGAAGGUGGGGAUGACGUCAAAUCAUCAUGCCCCUUAUGAUUUGGGCUACACACGUGCUACAAUGGACAAUACAAAGGGCAGCGAAACCGCGAGGUCAAGCAAAUCCCAUAAAGUUGUUCUCAGUUCGGAUUGUAGUCUGCAACUCGACUACAUGAAGCUGGAAUCGCUAGUAAUCGUAGAUCAGCAUGCUACGGUGAAUACGUUCCCGGGUCUUGUACACACCGCCCGUCACACCACGAGAGUUUGUAACACCCGAAGCCGGUGGAGUAACCAUUUGGAGCUAGCCGUCGAAGGUGGGACAAAUGAUUGGGGUGAAGUCGUAACAAGGUAGCCGUAUCGGAAGGUGCGGCUGGAUCACCUCCUUUCUAAGGA
RNAcentral lists this ribosomal RNA (421 nucleotides) under Staphylococcus coagulans. RNAcentral describes it as "bacterial SSU rRNA". It matches the Rfam family "Bacterial small subunit ribosomal RNA", at positions 1118 to 1533 of the family's 1533-position model. The record is from RNAcentral. Lineage: Bacteria; Bacillati; Bacillota; Bacilli; Caryophanales; Staphylococcaceae.